Molecule: long non-coding RNA, 2122 nt
Filed under: Olea europaea subsp. europaea
Lineage: Eukaryota; Viridiplantae; Streptophyta; Magnoliopsida; Lamiales; Oleaceae
Source: RNAcentral
CUAAUUUAUAGGCCUUGUUCAUAAACCUAAAGGAGUCCUAAAAGGUAAGGAAAUCUAUCAAAAUUAGGUCAAAAAAUUGUGUAAGGAAAAAAAAAUCAGCCGAGGAAGAAUUACAUUUCCUAAUUUGACUUGGAUUCAAAUUUAUUCCUUUCCAAGUCCAAGCAAAUCACGCAAUCAACAAGAUUCCUUUUCCUAAUUGAGAGUCACAAACCCAUCAAUCUCCAUUUUGACUCGAAAUUCUGGUGCAACGAACAAAACUCUCAGAUUUCAAAUUCGUCUACAGCAAAAUGAAAUUACCAAUCUCCUCAACACAGUAACCAAACUCUUCAUCACCAAACCAUUUUUCUCUACAAGGCAUCCACACACUACAUCUGAACCCAAAUCUCGAGUUCCCAAAAUUUCACCAAGAAAUUACUGUUGACCAAACAGUGUCGAAGCACACCCUGUAGCAGAAACCAAACCAAGUGCUUGAUCAGAAGGUCCCUUGUCAGAACUGUCAACUUCAACAAUCUCAAAAGUAUCAUAGACAUCAAUAACACUACUGUACCUACGCUCCAUGAGUCCACCCCUGACAUUUGAACAUAGUGCAACUGCUAAAUUUGGUGGCAAAGCGAAAUCACCAACGCUCCCCUUAAUAGUGUUCUGAACCGACCCAAAGUCCAACACAAAAGGUACUGUACCAAAUUGAAUAUCCACCACGGUAUUGAACUUGUCCCGAUGUCUCAAAACUGGUUAUGCGCUUUCCCGCAAUAUGUACAACUAGGAUCUCUUCCAUCCCUCCAGUACAACUCAGACACCUCUUUGAACCUUCAAAACUCCACAUCCACCAGAGAAUUUGUACCCUUUUGCAUCCAGGGUACUUUAGCGAAAUGAGAUUCAUCUUCAGAUCUGGAACAUGUCGAACCUGGCCAAGUGUUUUGAUCGUCCCAUCCUGCACCGCAAUCUGACUAGACCGAUUCCAGUAAUACGGCAAGACUCGUUGUUUCCCAUUACAACUCCACUUUGCUAAACAGCCUUAUAUGUCUAAAACAAAUUCCUAUCGAAACACAUAUGGUGCGAACAUGCCGCACCAAGAAUUCACUCCUCGUCAGGCUUAGAUUCCACGUCAGAAACCACAGUCAAGAAAAAUUCUCGGUAAUAUUAGUCUUGUCCGAAUUCCAUGAUUGUCCCCUAUGAUUUGUAGCUAAAUCACCUUUAGCCUGCAACUUGUCACAAUCCUUUUUCAAGUGUCUUCAUCGUCUGCAGUAGAAGCAAUACACAUUGUUGUUAUCCCUAAAUUUGCCUCUCCGUCGACCACCAUGAGAUAUAAGAGGUUCCUCAUCCCUCGAUGUAGCUCCAACAGAUACUUUAACUUCUCUUUUGAAGGCAAAGCAUGAUAGACAUCGUCUAUAGUCAACGUAUACUGACUGUACAGAAUGGUGUCCCGAAACGACGCAUAAGAACCAGGCAGCAAACAUAACAGGAUCAAGGCAGGAUCCUAUUCAUCACAGUUAACUUCCAACAUCUCCAAAUCUACGACAAUCUCAUUGAAUACAGCAAUAUAGUCUUCCAACGACCCUCCUUCCGCCAAGCGAUAGGAAUACAAUUUCUGCUUUACAACCAGUUUGCUAGUAAGACUCUUGGUCAUACACAACUGCUCCAGUUUCAACCACAAAGCAGCAGCAGUUUUUUCCUUCAAGACAUCCUACAGAAUAUUGUUGGAUACAUGAAGAUAAAUCAACGACAAAGCCUUUCGAUUCUUCCGUUGUUUCUCCUUCAUUGUCCAGUUAUCUGGCAUCUUCUCAAAACCCAGCAAAAUAUCGUUUAAAUCCAACUGCGACAAAAUAGCCCUCAUCUUUACUUGCCGCAACGAAAACCUUGUAUUGCUAUCCAAUAGUGGAAUAUCAAACUUCAUGGCAGUCAUCUCUGAAAACUUCAACCAAUCCGCAAAAAACCCAAGCUCUGAUACCACUUGUUGGGAUCGAUGGAUUGUAGAGAAUGAAGUUAAUGACGUGAUAUAAAGUUAAUAUGGAUUACAACAAUAUAAUAAUAUAUAUCAAGGUUUAAAGUAAAGAAGAAAAAGACAGUUAAACGCAGAGGCAAGAUGUAUUAUUAAUUGACAAUAUGAAGAGAAUACAAUGCC